UUUAUAAUACUAUAAGAUUCUUCAAUGACUAUCACAUGUUCAAUCCUGUUUCCUGUCAUACACCUGGAAGAAGAACAAUGUACUGAAACUAUUGAACUGAGUUUCGUGCAGUUUCCAAAACCAGAUUGCAUUAUUGAACUGAACUGAGACACUGACUGAACCACAACUAGUGGCAAGAAGUCUAUUUAUUGUGAUAGUAAAAAAGAAAGGUUGUUGUUUGUAAAAAUUUAUU
RNAcentral lists this long non-coding RNA (232 nucleotides) under Durio zibethinus. RNAcentral's name for it is "long non-coding RNA (DZIB_LNC000846)". The record is from RNAcentral. Lineage: Eukaryota; Viridiplantae; Streptophyta; Magnoliopsida; Malvales; Malvaceae.